This 468-nucleotide ribosomal RNA is filed under the name uncultured bacterium. Its description in RNAcentral is "partial 16S ribosomal RNA". It matches the Rfam family "Bacterial small subunit ribosomal RNA", at positions 28 to 507 of the family's 1533-position model. The record is from RNAcentral.
GACGAACGCUGGCGGCGUGCUUAACACAUGCAAGUCGAACGGAAAGGCCAGGAUCUUGUGGGGUGCUCGAGUGGCGAACGGGGGAGUAAAACGUGAGUAAACUGUCCUUGACUUUGGGAUAACUCCAGGAAACUGGGGCUAAUACCGGAUAGGAGCUCCUGCUGCGUGGGGGGGGAUGGAAAGUGUCGGCGGUGGGGGCUGGAAUCGCGGGUUAUCAGCCUGUUGGUGGAGUAGGGGCUUACCAAGUGUUCGACGGGUAGGCGGCCUGGGAGCGUGGACGGCCACAAUGGUACUGCGGUACGCCGCAGUCUCCUACGUGAGGCAGCGGUGGGAAGUAUUGCACAAUGGGCGCGAGCCUGAUGCAGCGACGCCGCGUUCGUGAUGCCGGCCUUCUGGUUGUAAACCGCUUUCGCCUGUGACGUAGCCUGAGUGACGGUACUGGGUAAGGAAGCCCCGGCUAACUACGUG